This 361-nucleotide ribosomal RNA is filed under the name uncultured bacterium. Its description in RNAcentral is "bacterial SSU rRNA". It matches the Rfam family "Bacterial small subunit ribosomal RNA", at positions 527 to 896 of the family's 1533-position model. The record is from RNAcentral.
GUAGGGGGCAAGCGUUAUCCGGAUUUACUGGGUGUAAAGGGUACGUAGGCGGCCUCAUAAGUCUGUGGUUUAAGCCCGAAGCUUAACUUCGGUUCGCCACAGAAACUGUUUGGCUUGAGUAUGGUAGAGGCAAGUGGAAUUUCUAGUGUAGCGGUUAAAUGCGUAGAUAUUAGAAGGAACACCAGUGGCGAAGGCGACUUGCUGGGCCAUUACUGACGCUGAGGUACGAAAGCGUGGGGAGCAAAUAGGAUUAGAUACCCUAGUAGUCCACGCCGUAAACGUUGGAUACUAAGUGUCGGAGUUUCCGGUGCUGAAGUUAACACAUUAAGUAUCCCACCUGAGUAGUACGGUCGCAAGGCUG